Molecule: long non-coding RNA, 10743 nt
Organism: Haplochromis burtoni (Burton's mouthbrooder)
Lineage: Eukaryota; Metazoa; Chordata; Actinopteri; Cichliformes; Cichlidae
Exons: 2
Source: RefSeq, a predicted model, not a curated record
GUGUGUGUGUGUGGGUGUGUGUGUUUGUGUGUGUGUGUGCACUGAUGGAUUCAGGUCUCAUGUUGGAGACCUUUAGCAGCUGUGACAUUGAUGUCACUGUUGUGUAUGUACUGUAGUGUCAGGUGUGCACGUUCCUCUCUCUGCGUAGGAAAGCUCGAAGGGCCAAACGCAGCGAGAAGUGCAACAUUUUUGACUCCAAGGCGACUUUAAAAAUCUGGCCAGCAUUUGGGCAGAGGUGUGUGUGUGUGUGUCUGUGUUGUGUGUGUGUGUGUGUGUCUGUGUCUGUGUGUGUGUGUGUGUGUGUGUGUGUGUGUGUGUGUGUGUGUGUGUGUGUGUGAGGGUCAAUGAGAAGACAGGGGUUUGGAGAAGCUGUGGAGUAAGGCAUGUUUAUCUGCUUUGUAUAUAGAGACCGUAUCUAAGAUACAGAGUUGCACUGCCAAGACAGAUGGGAUGGAGUGAUGUCACGAACCAAUAAGAUACGACUGUUUGAGCCCGCGAGCAGCUUCCUUUUCCUGCUUCACGUGUUUGUUGCCAUUGAGCCCUGUUGGCCAGGUCUGCUUGCUCCCAGGUUGAGGUAGUAGGUUGUAUAGUUGAGAAUUACACCCCGGGAGAUAACUGUACAACCUCCUAGCUUUCCCUGAGGUAUGCACGGCACUCUGCACAGCUGGAUCAAUAUAGUCCACUGUUAUUAUUUAACGGCGUGCUAAAUCGAGAUACCGCACACUCAACGUGGUCAAUAACAUUUCCCAACACUUUUUGGCCUGUUAGUGCGCGCGCGUGUGUGUGUGUGUGUGUUUGCACAUCACGAGUUGGUCUGUGGCCUGUUCGGGGUCAGAUACCCGUUUGCAUUUUAAUAUUGUGAAGCAUUAAAUCUGGACCUUUGUGGAAAAUAUUUUGAAAUGCCUCUUUCUGGUUUCAUUGAUGUUUCUUUUGGGUUCAAUAAACUUCUUAUUUUGUCUCGCCAACUAUCCAAAAACUGAGAAACAUUUUCUUCAUUUAUUCCCAAAAUUGUUGACAGUAAUUUUCUGACAUGUUUUGCUUGUGCUGCAGUGUAUCGGAUGUCCACAGCCGAAGUGUGAAUGUCUCUUCCUGUAAUUUUUUGCGUACUUACGACUCCAGCUCUGUUUGUGUGCCAGCUGGCAGCGGAGAUCUGUACUCUAUGUUUGAUGUGAAGGCAGCAGCGUUGGCCUGUGAGAUCAGAAACGCUGCAUUGUUGCGUGGCCGAUAGGACUGACGUGCACCGAAGCGUCACCGGGUUUCCGUUCCGAGGCAACGGCGAUAACCUCAUUAGUGCCGAUGACUGCGUGGAAGGAGGCCGGCUGUUUCGGUCUUGCUGUUUGUGCGGUGAUGGAUACGAAGGGGAGAAAAGCACGGGAUUCAAACGGGAGCCCGCCACUGUAGCGUCCCAGUCCGCUCGCCAUCAGUAACGUCUGCUGUCAGCCUCGACAAUUAUUGUCACAAUAUUUCCAAUCGGCAGAUGCAGACUGCUGCUGUCAUUCUGUGUGACAUGUGAAAUAUUGUGACAGUCAGGGAGGAACAGGAAAUAAACUGAUUGAAAUGAUUACUGCACAGCAAAACAGACAUUUUCAUGGUUCUGGGCUGGCUUCUCCAGCCUUGGAGUGGAUCUGCAAAGAAAUCAAAACAGCAAUAUUUGAACUCUAAUCCUGAAUGCAAACCGAGCAGCUCUUCCCUCUGCGGCUGUCUUCUAACCCUGACGUUUUGCCUCUUCUGCUUUGCUGCUGGCAGCAGUGAACCUGCUGGAUUUACAGCGUCCAACACUCCCUCUUCAGCAGCAGUAACAUGAGCGCACUGGCCUUCAUAUGUUAUAUACUGAGGCCUGGCACUUGUCUACAAGUGCAUAUGUUUACAGCAGAGGAGCAUAAGGCUGCCCCCUGUUGGUUAACCCUGUGAAGGAUCCACCUCAGGUUAGAAGACUGCAAUAAUUUAAUUUGUACAAAUGCAUGUGUGCUUUUACAUUGACCAUGUGGGCAUACAUCUGUGGGCAGUCCCAGGAGAAAGUUUUAGUUACGUUUUCCAUCUUUUUUUGCAGAAUUUGACACUUUUAAAAAUACAUUUAAGAAGUCAAGAGUAUAUGUGCACCUUUUUAGUUGACCUGUUCUAGUCAAGCCUUUAUUUGUUAUCAGGUUUGGUAAAAAGAAAAAAGAAAAUCAAGAUUAAAAUCACGAAAACUCAGUUUCUACAAAAGCUUGUAUGCUCUGUGAAAUGAAAACAAGAUUGAUUGUGGGUCCUUUAAUCAUUUCAAGGCUAAAUUUGCGUACAGAGUGUGCUUUGGCACUGUCUUGCUGAAAUGAGCAAGACCUUCAGUGACAAAGAAACGCUGCAGAUGUAUCGCUCCAUAGACUGUGUACGUCAUUGAGCAUCACUGGCUCUCAGGCCACAGAAUGCAGCAUCUGUAAUUUCCAAAGAUGUUGUAAUUAGUGAGACCACAGGGAGUUUUCCAGUAAAUAAAGUGCUUCCAUUUCUGAAUCAUAUUUAUUUAUGUGUUUCAAACUUGCAUUUGUGGAUGGUUUCUGAGUGAGCUGUGUUCACUGCUGAGUGCUGCUCAUGAGCACGUUGAUUAUUGGUUUUCAGCAUUUUCCUGUGCGUAAUGUUAUCUCACAUCUUUACUGUGUUGGUGAGUAGUUUAGCAACAUUUCACACAACGUUUAAUGUUUGCAUCUGCCUUUGCUGCAGAACGACUCUCGGCCAGCUUUGCUCCGGGUCAGCACGCCAUCAGGUUACUGACAUCACACAGAAAAAUCUCCUGAUGGUGCUAAUUACUGCAAAAUGUUUAUGCACUGUUUCCAGUUGAACAUGGAUGAUUUUCACAGAAAUCCAGUCAGCACAGGUCAGACGUCCUCUUCCUGAACCUUUCUUUUCGCCAUCCCCGUUGCCAUAGCAACGACCUCCCGACCUCAGCUGCGAUGGUCCGAUGUGACAGGUGUCAAUCAAGUUCUCCGGUCGGGAGCGCGUCAUGCCCGUCAUCGCCCCACCCAGCGGCCGUGUUUGUUUCUGGCUCUGCAGACCUGCUGCUGCAGGUUUGUUUGCAGUCCUGCUGCUUUGUUGUCGUGCGCGUGGGCUACAGCCUGACAGAUCUGGGUCUCUCUUGACGUACCGCUUGGCUGGCCGGGUGCAGAUUCCUGGCCGUUACCAGCAGAUAAUAAAUACUUGGAGAGAGCGGAAUGGGAUGGGUAAAUCGGUGGCACCUGAGCUGGAUGCAAAGUUUCAUUAGCCAGGUGGUUUAUUAUUUUGACUUUUGCACAUUUAUCCACACGCGUGUGAAGUUUAACCAUACUUGUAUUUGAGCCUACACGCCUCAGCGUGCAUGCGUGUGCGCCUUUGUCUGCCUGCUGCAGGCUCUCACCAUCAAAGCAGGCUAAUAUUAGCACCUGACAGAAGACUGGCUCUAUCUGGACACAAAGCAGGUGAUAAAUGAGGAUUGCUGCAUUGUGUGUGUGUGUGUGUGUGUGUGUUGCGCGUGCACACGUACGCGAACGUGUCAACGGGGAGACUGUAAAAUAUGUAGCAUGAUUAUUUUUCAAAUCGGCCGUCUUACAGAGGUGGAUCGUGCUGCAGAUCCAGAUGCUCGGUUUUCUACUGCAGCUGCAUUGAGAAGCAGCACGACGUGACGGGAGAUUAGCCGGGCUGCAGACGCAGGCGGUCGAUCGCUCGCAGAAGGAAAGCAAGAGGGCAGUGUGGUCUCGGGGAUUUUUCUUUUCUUCCUUUUUUUCCUCUCUCCUUCCCAGCCUCUUCGAGCCCCGUCGCUGAUUUGAGCCUGCAGCCAGUUGUAGGUCGCUGCUCUCCUUCGUUUCGCUCCAUCUGUCCCUCCCCCCAUCAUCUCUCCUCUUUUUCUCCCUCCCUCCCUCCCUCCCUCUCACUCUCUCUCCCUCUCUCUCCAUACCAAAGCCUGGGGGAGCCAGUGGAGAUUAAAUGUAGCCUGUAUAAGCCAAAGCACAUCAUGUAGCAAUGUUUCUAUGGCCCCUCUCUCUCUCUCUGAGAGGAUAGUGUGAAAGAGGUCGGCUGGUGUGAGGCGCAGAAUAAGACAGCAGACAGAAAGACUGGAAAAGUGGAUUUUUGUUGGUUUUUCUUUGCAUGCCAGCAAAAGAGUGGAUUUGUUUUCUGUUUGGAAAAUGGACAACAGCGAGGUGGGAGAAAAAAAGGAGAAAAGGACGACUUUCUCCUGCCCCUAACCCCCCCCACCCUGUCUGAUACAGAGGAAAAGUGGGCCUCUGGCUGUAAGCGAUUACAGCUGUGAGGCAAAUUAAUGGAUGAUCUCUCCCUCUCUUCUCGUUCUCCUUCGAUCAGCACGGGCAGGAGAAAGAAAAAGACUGAGGGAGACUCUCUGGGAAGGAAGAGAAGGGAGAGGGAGGUAUGCUUUUUCUUUUUCUCCUGUCUUCCCUCCUUUCCACCUCUGCAUGUGAUUGGAAAGAGAAAGCGGAGCGAGACAAGAGAUCAGCAGGCACAUUGGUUUUUGUCCUUUAACUUGGGUGUGCGUGCACGUCCUCCCCCUUUGUCACCAACCUGCGCCCGAGACCUGCAGGUUUGGAUACAAAGCAGUGAGCUCGGAAAGCAGCGAGCGAUUGGGGCAUCCUGGAUCCAAAGGGGAGGGUGAGUCGAUACCAACAAAUUCUCUUCCUCUCCGCUCCCCAUCUGUUUCCUACGCUUUAGACCACCAUGGUAGCAAAAAGGAACUGUAGAGCUUUGUCAUCAGGCUUGUCUUUUUCCUUGCGCAGCCUCUCGGGAGGAUUGGGAAGCUUGUUCUGAACAGGGAUGUGCACUUGUAAGCACUGAGCGGUCGCCAAACGAUUUUUGUUGCACCAGGUAAAAGGCAUGUCGUUCGGACGAGCAUGCAAGUCAUCGUGUGAGAUGGACUGUGAGAUGCUGCACUGGUCUGGCGCAAAUUUCAAUGCUGAAGCCAAUGCAUCCACGCGGGGCUUUUGUCUUUUGCAUCUCCUGCAAGUAAUGGUUACUAAAGGACAGAAGCAGACCUUCGCAGAUCUUUGGACAUACAGUACGGCAGCAGGCUCUGUACCUGAUGGCAGGAGGCAUUUUUCAAAGUGCUGUAUUGUUCAGCCGAGGUGGGGGAGGGGGAGAGAGAUAGUUGAGGGAGGGGGGCUGGCCAGUGUUGUGUCUGGCUGAGGCUUGCACUUGUUGUAUGCUCACGAAUGCAUAGGGGGCUGUGGAGCUUGCAGCUAAUGCAUUGCCUCUGAGGCUGUGCGAGGCAGAGCUCACUCUGUAUGCAGGAGACGCUCCGAGUCCUCAUUUGACUUAUAAGCAAGUCCAGCACACGGAGGUUAUUCCUGCGCAGGAAUACGAGUGAUUUCCGAGAGGGUUCAAAGCAGCUGUGCAACGAGGGAGAGGAGUUCGUUUAGGAUACGCGUCUUUCUCCAUCCCUGAGACCCUAACUUGUGACGUUGUGCUUUCAUGUCCACGGGUUAGGCUCUCGGGAGCUGAGAGAGAUGCACAGGCAGCGCUAUCUCCCGCACCUUCCUGCCUCCAACAAUGGCGACCGAAGGGGGGGGGGGCCGUGGCGCAGUGAGCUAAGGCGUUAACCAUGUCACACUUCACAGCUUGACUCACACCCCGGCAUGAUGUUGUUACCUGGAGUUUUCGCUCUUCCCGUCUGCCCGCUUUGCCGCCUCGCUUCUUCACAGCACAUGAAAUCAAGUAGAGCUGGUCAAAUAUCUGGGCUUCAGUUGAUGGGAGUGUAGCAUCGUGCACGCUUUAUUGAAGUCAUGUGACGGAGCUGAGGCCGCCUGAGCUAAAGGUGUGCAGAGGGGUGACAGGAAGCGAUCAUCUUGUCACAGCUGAGGCUCGAUUCUCGCAGUAUGGACCACAAGCACCAUGUUGGACCGCAUAGAAAAGCUUUACGCUAAAGUAACAUGUUGAUGAAUCUCCGCAGGAUUCUGUGUUUGAGUUUUCGUGUCACGUGGUCUGAAAAAGAGGGCCCACUCAGAGCUGUAAUGGCUAAUAAUGACUAAUACUUACUGUUAGUUACUAAUUUUUUUAAAAACAGCUUCAGGUGGAGCACUGAAGCUAACAAUGCUCGCUAAAACCAGUACACGUUCCUGCUAAAGCCAAUAGGUGUUGCUGAGCAGCUUGUGAUGGAUGGUGCUAAUGCCAUGGCGAUGGUGUCAGUCUCGUCUUGUGCACAGUGAUAAGUCUUGCAGCCCUUUUGCAGCAGGCCUGGAUACUUGCUCGGCGUCCGUGACUUGAGAGCAGCACAGAGGGAUGUCGAGAGCGUGACUAUGACAGCUCUGUACAUGAUGUGCUUGACCUCAGCAAACCCUCGCCAACAUUAACGCUUAUUCGCGCGUGCCAACGCAAAGCAAAGGUGACAACGUGAAAACACUGGCAGGCGGCUAGCAGCCAUCACCGGGGCAUGUCUAAACUACGAUGAUACCACCACCGACCACGAUCCAUGAAUGAACGGUGCAGCUGCUGAGUCGAUUCUGAUUGGACUCUGGUGUCUAGCUGCGACACUUUGUCAUCGAUAGUAACGAGGAUCCUACCUGCUGACUUGGUCAUAGGGGCACGUGGUGGCUUUUGUUGCACGAGCUUCAUUUCUCACCCAGCUGCUGGUUAAUGGGUGAGAUCUGCACAUCCACGCCACCCUGCAGGUCGCUCUCGCGAUACCCAUUUGCAGAACAGCAGCAGCUCUUUGACUACCUGAUUCUUCAAUAUCUGCCUGAACUCCUACUCCUGUGGCAUUAAUGGAGCGUAGCAGGGUAUUGAUGAUAAGUUAUUUCCAUGGAUACUUCCCUUCAUGCAGAAAGUUCAGUGCUAGAUUUGUGCGUUUCAUAUUUUAGCAAGGUAAUUAGCAGGGUCGAUGACCGUAAUGCUAAACUUAUUUUCAUUAGUAAAUGCUUCAGUGUAACGGUUUCCACUUCACUUGUGUUUCUUGCAUUGACAGUUAUGUGGUAUAAUAUACCGAUGUGUUGAGCUUCACCCUCUCAGGGCUUUGCCUCCGAUCAGAAGAACCUUUCAUCGUGUUGUUGAUGAACCAACAUGGACUGUAGCUUGAACCCUGCUGUCUUAUGUAACGCCUCUGUGAGCCCCGUCUCUUCUUCUACAUUCUCUCUGCCUCCAAAUCGCUUUUGAUUCGCUCAGCUCAGUGAGCGCAUACUAACCUGGAGCAAGUUAGUGCCUAGCCGCUAAGCUCCAAAGGAGCCGCAGGCUUGCGUCGUCCAUUGUUCGGCUCCUCUGCACACUGUCUGUACACUGUGUCCCCAAAGCUGAGCCAGACAUGGAGGACAGACACUUACAGUGUGACUGCUGGGCAUGUACCAGCUACGAUAAGCUGCUCCAUCACCCAGAUUAUGUUAGGAUCUUUAUAGAAAAUGUGUUUCUGUGCUUGCUUUUCCACAGCAGAGUCUGGAGUGGUGGUCUGGAAUAACGCGUGCCUUGCAAAGCUGCUGCACCACACAAUCCCAGGGUUUUACUCUAGUCUAGUUUUAGUCUCCAGACUUGCAAAAUUCAGCCGGGAAUGGCAACAGUUGAUUGUAAUCCUGUUUAAUGUAGACGAACUUUCCGUUAAGACAGACUGCUGAAGGCCGACCCUGGUGUGGGUUUGUGAGGACGGUCCGUUGGUUAUGCCUAAAACCUCUCGUGAAAAUCGAGUCAGCUUAUUUCAGAGUAAAAGUGAGAAAGCUCGAUCGGCACGCUGUGAAAAUGCAUCGACGUAGGCGACAGACGGCUGGCGAUGAGCCUCUUUGUGGCAGCGGGGAUGGUUUCCCUCUGCAUCAGCCUUGCUCGCCAAUCUGCAGCUUUUUUUCUGCCACUCCCUUCGACACACAGCCGCUCUCUGCUGCAGGCGGGAGAAGCUCAUUCAUCAAUAACCAGUGUGCUUCCUACACUAUCUGUCAACACGUCUGUAAUGUGAUGUGUGUGUGUGUGUUCCCCAUACUGCAGAGGGGAUCACUGCCCCUUCCAAGUCUGUCGGUGAAACAAGAUGGCGUCGCAGCUCCACGUGGGUCCUCUCGUGCCGGCCAAUGCUCGCUACCCACGGCAUCUGAGAGCAGCAGAGGGCAUUUUUUUGUUUUUUUCUAACUGUUGCACACCUGGGGCCGAUUUUCUCGCCGCGUAGCUGGAAUUGCUGAGGCUCUCGUCGGCUCUGCAGCUUGGCCAAAGAUUUAGAAUUUGGGGCACGUCCAGAGCUUUCAUUGUUUCUCUCAUUUCUGUUCGCCCGGUCUGGGCACCGACUGCCAAACUGUACGCUGUUUUGUCUGCCAUCUGGGCGGCUUUGAAAUGCGCUGGUGGGAUGGACCGGUGCAUUUUCAGCAUCACUUGUCGUUUGUCUGGGUGUGUUGGUGCGCAAGCCUGUGUGAACGAGGCAAGUUUAGAGGAGCUUUACGCACAGCCGCAUUACAGCAGCAGAUUAACCAGACUACAGACUAACGAACCUCAUUAAUCUGAGAGUCGCCCACAGUAUGUCAACAGUCACACACACACGCAGGCGCACGUCUGUGCAUUAAAAAGCUCCUCCAAUAAAGAGCCAGGUAGUGACGAGCGGCAGCAGAGCCCAUCUGUGUCGUCCUGCUGCAGGUCACUUUGCAUUUAAAGAAAGGCUGGAAAUCCCCCGAUGAGUCAACGUGUAACCCUUCUGUGCAUCAUCAUCAUCUUCGUGUGUUUUUGGUGGUUUUUGUACAUUUGAAGGAAAACAUGCCGAAGCACACGAACCAGAAAGCUGUGCUCAUCAUUUCUUUUUUUUAACAUAUUUAUUUCAAUUGGUCGGGGAGAUGAUAUCAGAAACAUAUUUGAUGAUGGGAGAGCGAUGCAGCAGCUGGAUCUGGAUGAGAUCAAGUCUGUGACACAAUUUGAGGCUUUUGCUUCUAUGAAUCAGUGCAGCCUCCUAUUACAACAUAACAGUGAUUAUGAGCUUUGUUUAUAACGGUAAAAAUGACUUGUUCUGUAUUUCAGUCUUUCCUCUGAAGCUGGAGUCGAUAAAAGUCGUAAAAACUCUUCCUGUUGAGCGAUAAUGUGAAAAUCUUUUCAGAAUGUUAUUAAAGCAAAAGCUUUUAUUUUCUAAACACUAACAAGUAUCAGUACAGAAGCAUUUUAUUGAUUAAGAUAAACUGAACAGUCACGCUGUAAACACUGAAUUGUUUUAUUCUUUCUUUUAAAGCAGAAAAUCCUGCAGGAUCUGCAGUGGAUGUGGAUCUGCAGGAUCUGCAGUGGAUGUGGAUCUGCAGGAUCCACAUGUGCGCGCCGACCUGGACGAGGCACCUUCGACUUUCUGUUCAAACUGAACAGGUGUCCUCUGACGUGUGUUCAUGAAGAACGUUCAGAGCUGCGAUCCUUCUUUGGCGCCGAUUACCUUAAAUGUGAAAUAGAGGGCGCGAUUUAAAGCUUAAAACUCUGUCCCAGUACUGGAGCUGUCUGAGGUGCAAUAAACUUCCAUCUAAUUCCUGUCUCAGUGAACUGUCUUGGUAUUGUAGCUUCAUGCUGCUCUGUUCAUCUGUGGUGGCUGUGAUGCUUUUGUUGUAGCCUUCACAAUGUGCUUCUAGUGGAAACGGAGCGAAGAGCAGAAUUUGUAUCGUGUGUGAAGUUCCUGUUAGAUCAUUUAACAAAACCGGCGCUCGUUAUAACCGACACGAUACUGAAAUAUGCUGCAUCUCAGAUUUAAGCCAAGCUACUGAACAGCACUGCAGCUCGACAUACUGUACAGAGCCUGUUACGACCUGCCCAGCAGUCUCGUGUGACUCAAUUCACCAUUUUUUCUCCAAACCCAGUUUUCCGACUGGUUAAUGUGCUCCAUUAAUCCACACACACGUGUGUUUUUGGAUAUUUCCAGAUGAUCCAGUUGUGCUAUUUUUAGACUAUUUGUCACAAUUUGUUUUAUAUUAUAUUCUGAUGUAAACUUCGAUUCACCCUCCUGUGUUAUCUCAGUUUGUGGAAUUAUUUGUUUAAUUCAAACCGACUGUGGUGAAUCUGGACGCCACGUUUGUUCAUAUAGAUACUUCAAUUUCUUCUGAAUAAAUAUAGAAGUUUUUUCUCUUCCUUCUGAUGUGUCCUACAUGUCUAAAUAAAACCUCACUGCUGUCAUUUCACGUGACUGUCAAUUCUUUCAACUCUUACACUUAUUAAUAGAAGCUCUAUGUGAAGCGUGAGAUUCGGCCGUCUAACGUGUUUUUAUUUCAUCUUUGGGAGUAUUUUUAUACUCUAUUAAAGCUCCUACUGUUGUUUUUGUUUCUGUGAGUUACGGAGACGUGUUACAGGAUCUCCUUAAAAACAAUAAAUUAAAAAAGACAGCUGACGAGGACGAUGUCAGUCUUCUUUCACCUCUGUCCAUAUGUCUUUAAAUGAGACAUUUUUAUAUUGUUGUGAAACAUGAGUCUUUUUCUGACUGGACCUACAUUAAUGUUUGCAUGAUUUAUCAAAAGUGUGCAGAUAGCAAUAAGUGUUUCUUUGUUGCUUUUAGAGGAAAAUCAGCACAUUCUUGGUGUCAGUGUAGUGGUUGUGUUUUUCAGGCUGUGCUCGGGCUUCAUUGUGUAACAGCUUUUAAAUGACUUUGUCUCUCUCUCUCUCUCUUGCAGCCUUUUAGACCAGGUCAGGACAUGUCGGGGAACAGUUCAUGAACACGAGAUGCAUAUAACAACCGGCUGCCCACACGCUGUGUAGACAUCUUUCUUUUAUAGCUUAUAGUUUGACCAGGACAUGCGUGUGAUCUGUGACAGUAGGAGCUGCUUUUUAAUGCUUCACAUGUCUCUGUAAUGUAAACAUGUAAAUAAAGUCUUAAUGAAA